Molecule: non-coding RNA, 944 nt
Organism: Myodes glareolus (Bank vole)
Lineage: Eukaryota; Metazoa; Chordata; Mammalia; Rodentia; Cricetidae
Source: RefSeq, a predicted model, not a curated record
AACCAUCACAGUUACAUGCCCCCAGAGCUGUCACGUAUGAAGACAGCAUUCCUAUGCUGUGCUGAUUUAUAAUGAAGCUCGGUAGCUGUGCCUUGCACAUGUCUACACAAAGCUUUUUCUAAAAGAAUCGUCUGAGGAAACAAAGAGGAAAAUGAUUAGAAAAUAGAGAAGCAGAAGGGGAGAAGUGUCUGAUUCACUCUCCUGCCCUCAGAGAAGAGAGCACCUUACCAUUCACUGACUGGGCAUCAGAGCAACGGCAGGACUAGUCAGUCCGUUUUUUACUCGUUUGGGGGCAUGAAGGAGUGCACAGUCAUUCUGAGGACAGGUAAGAGAAAGCAGGUCACAUUUCAAUAGCAAACGCACACACAGUUUCUCUAGCCUUCAAUGCCAAAGCUGUGGAUGGACGUAACGUCACUUUCUUGUGAAGGCACAAGGAAAAAGCAUCCAGGCUAGGGGAGUCACAUACCAGGCAAAGAAUGGAUGAAGGCCCAGACAUCAUCGACCGUCCAUAUAGAGGGCUCUGUCUGUGAAACUGGAAGCAAGUCACUGUUCUCAGGCAUUUUCCUAAUCCUCACAUCACGCAGCUCACGUUCUCUUUCCCGCUCACUCUGCCUGCGCAGACGAGUUGUCAUGGCAGUAGGCACAGAAUCCUCAUGAGAAGCCAAGUCUUCUUCUGCAGAUGGAUAAGUAAUUGGAAGCUGGAAAAUGCAGUAAAGUAAAAUACAGCAUUGCACUUUCCUUGCAUUUCUGAAAAGGACAUUGUACAUUGAAGCAAGCUUUCUACAGACCUGCCUAAGGAUAUGUUCUCUUGCUGUUCCUUCAGGGCCACUUGGACGACGACCCCGAUGCCCAAGACUUUGAUUAUCAGGCUUACGAUUCCAACGACUAAGUGCAAAUUUUUUAGAACAGCUAACAUUGUACCUAAGAAAUUCAAGAAAGAAAAA